RNAcentral lists this long non-coding RNA (1268 nucleotides) under Mytilus galloprovincialis (Mediterranean mussel). The record is from RNAcentral. Lineage: Eukaryota; Metazoa; Mollusca; Bivalvia; Mytilida; Mytilidae.
AAGAAAUCUAACUGCAUUUAGAAAAAUUCAAUGGAAACUUUUCAAAUAUAAUCCGAAAAUCGAAAGCUGUCUGCAUGUGAAACUUUAUAUUUCAAAUAUUUUUUCACAACAGGUCAGUUGAAACUGUUCUGGAUUUUUCUUUGAAUUGAUGGAACACUCUUCCUUUCUUUAGACUGUUUAUAUCCGAACGGUAAGUGAAGAGGGCGGUACAAACAUGGGACCAGGUUAUGUAUGAUAAGUGGAGUGAAGUUAGAAGGAAUAAAGUAGGAAAAUUUCAUCAAAAUUUGUAAAUUGGGAGUUUUUAUGAAGAUGCAGGUCUCUGUAGUCAACCAAUACGUAAAGUAGCAAAAUACUUUACAAUUUCAAACAUAUUGGCACUCGGAUUUUCGGUUUUGAAAUAAGUAUAGCGUCGUAUUUGAUAAAGGGGCAUUAGCUGUCAAAUUCAUAUUCUCUGCUUUGACUCAAGUUUUCACAUUUUAUUUAUGUCAUACUAAAACGUACUAGUAUAAUUAUACAAAUUAUAAAGUCUCAUAUGAAUCGGCACUUCGUGUGUAUUUUAGUCUAGACCCUAUCUAGUUAACCAUAAUGGUCACCUCGGAACACUGCCGACGGUCAUUUGACCUGAUACAAACAUUUAUUUACUUUAAUUAAAGAUAGAUAGCGAACUCGUGCAAUUGGAUUUUUUAGGUCAUUUCAUAUAAUAGGUUAAAAUGUAUGUUAAUCAUAGUUUUUACCUGUAUACGAAAGAGGUUUUGUGGAUCGAAUCAGUUUACCAUAUUUUCACUCUUUUUUGUUUCACUUGUUUUUCUUUUUAAUAACUGAACACGCAUAAUUCAUGCGGAACCCAUAUCCAGUUAAAGGGUAAAAUUGAAGGUCACAUGACUACAGAUUCAAUGAUGUCCAAUAAUUCACUUGCAAGUGAACGAUAUUUCUUAAAUUAUUUUGUUUUGCCCAAAUGAUCCCAUCUCGUAAGACAGGAAUUAACAAACUAUAGAAAAGGGGGGUCCUUCGUACCUUUUUUUAAUUUUCAGCCCAUUUUUUUUUUCUAUUAUUUGGUCCUUAAUUCUGCACAUUUAAUCAUUAUUUUCUAUGCUUUAAACCCGAUGCAGACCCUCGCGAAAACGAUCCUCCCACUCGAUUGGCGUCAGAUGGAGUUGUAUUAUAUCCACUCAAAUGUCUUACAUGUUGUUAUCAAUAAGAUACGAUUGUAUGUUUUGCCAAUCAAAUAAAAGAUUAAAUGAAAGAGAGUUAGGCAAGAUACAAUUUUG